ACUGCAAAAGAAAGAGCAUCCCCGCUUCAUUUUAUGCUUUUGUAAACAGCUCUGGAGCAAUUGAGUCAAACGACAACGUUGAAACUGUUACCGAUAAUCGCAUGGCAAGAUUGAAACAGAAGAGGAAAUCUUUGCGUGAUAUUUUAAAUCAGAAAUACUGUGAAGCAACUGGAAUGGACAAAGCAAAAGUGCCAUACACUUCUCUUUUGA
Molecule: long non-coding RNA, 210 nt
Organism: Xenia sp. Carnegie-2017
Lineage: Eukaryota; Metazoa; Cnidaria; Anthozoa; Malacalcyonacea; Xeniidae
Exons: 3
Source: RefSeq, a predicted model, not a curated record